Molecule: ribosomal RNA, 443 nt
Filed under: uncultured bacterium
Lineage: Bacteria
Description: partial 16S ribosomal RNA
Rfam family: Bacterial small subunit ribosomal RNA
Source: RNAcentral
CCUACGGGAGGCUGCAGUGGGGAAUAUUGGGCAAUGGGCGCAAGCCUGACCCAGCAACGCCGCGUGAAGGAAGAAGGCUCUCGGGUUGUAAACUUCUUUUCUCAGGGACGAAACAAGUGACGGUACCGAAGGAAUAAGCCACGGCUAACUACGUGCCAGCAGCCGCGGUAAUACGUAGGUGGCAAGCGUUAUCCGGAUUUACUGGGUGUAAAGGGCGUGUAGGCGGGAGCGCAAGUCAGACGUGAAAUCCCAGGGCUCAACCCUGAGACUGCGUUUGAAACUGUGCUUCUUGAGUGAUGGAGAGGCAAUCGGAAUUCCGUGUGUAGCGGUGAAAUGCGUAGAUAUACGGAGGAACACCAGUGGCGAAGGCGGAUUGCUGGACAGUAACUGACGCUGAGGCGCGAAAGCGUGGGGAGCAAACAGGAUUAGAUACCCGAGUAGUC